GCCUUUCUAACACCAACAUCAGGUGGUAGCGCGUCCGCUUUGCAUGCGGAAGGUCUAGGGUUCGAUCCCCUAGUUGUAAGUCA
RNAcentral lists this transfer RNA (83 nucleotides) under Pseudocercospora pini-densiflorae CBS 125139. RNAcentral describes it as "tRNA-Ala (TGC) (tRNA-Ala-TGC-2-1)". Lineage: Eukaryota; Fungi; Ascomycota; Dothideomycetes; Mycosphaerellales; Mycosphaerellaceae. The record is from RNAcentral.